GUGCACCAGGCGAGAAUUUUUGACAAUGGGGGAAACCCUGAUCGAGCGACGCCGCGUGGAGGAUGAAGGUCUUCGGAUUGUAAACUCCUGUCAUUGGGGAACAAGGUGCAUACGUUAACUACGUGUGUAUUGAUAGUACCCGAAGAGGAAGGGACGGCUAACUCUGUGCCAGCAGCCGCGGUAAUACAGAGGUCCCAAGCGUUGUUCGGAUUCAUUGGGCGUAAAGGGUGCGUAGGCGGCGCGGUAAGUCGGGUGUGAAAUCUCGGAGCUUAACUCCGAAACUGCAUUCGAUACUGCCGUGCUUGAGGACUGGAGAGGAGACUGGAAUUUACGGUGUAGCGGUGAAAUGCGUAGAUAUCGUAAGGAAGACCAGUGGCGAAGGCGGGUCUCUGGACAGUUCCUGACGCUGAGGCACGAAGGCCAGGGGAGCAAACGGGAUUAGAUACCCCUGUAGU
RNAcentral lists this ribosomal RNA (455 nucleotides) under uncultured organism. RNAcentral describes it as "bacterial SSU rRNA". It matches the Rfam family "Bacterial small subunit ribosomal RNA", at positions 346 to 794 of the family's 1533-position model. The record is from RNAcentral.